This is a long non-coding RNA of Eriocheir sinensis (Chinese mitten crab), 655 nucleotides long. RefSeq lists it as uncharacterized. The transcript is spliced from 3 exons. NCBI's taxonomy places the organism in Eukaryota, Metazoa, Arthropoda, Malacostraca, Decapoda, Varunidae. The record is from RefSeq and is a predicted model, not a curated record.
AGGAGGAGGAAGGUAGGAGGGGGAGAGGGAAGGAGGAAUGAGGAGGAGGAAGAGGGGGAAAGAAGAGGAAGGAAGGAGAGGGAGAGGGAAGGAGGUAUGUGGAGGAGGAGGAGGAGGGAAGAAGAGAAAGAGGAAGAUAAAAUGGGAAGAAGGGAGAGGAAGAGGAGGAGGAGAGGGAAGGAGGUAGGAAGAGGAGGGAAAGAAGUGAGGAGAAGAGGAGGAAGAGGAAGGAAAGAGAGGGAGAGGGAAGGAGGUAUGUGGAGGAGGAGGAGGGAAGAAGAGAAAGAGGAAGAUAAAAUGGGAAGAAGGGAGAGGAAGAGGAGGAGGAGAGGGAAGGAGGUAGGAAGAGGAGGAGGAGGAAAGAGAACGAGGAAGAUAAAAGGGGAAGAAGUGAGCAGAAGAGGAGGAGGAGGAAGAGGAAGGUAGGAGGAGGAGGAGGAGGAGGAAGAGGUGGAAGAGGAAAUCAUAAAAAUUCUAAAACAUGAUAAAAAAAAAAAUAUCAAAAUACAAAACAAAUAAAUCAACAAAUAAAAAAAUACAUCUUUUUUUUUUCCUCAUUUCACACAAUUUUUUCUUACUCAUAAAAAAACAAAACAAAAAUAAAUAAAUAAAAUAACAAAUACAACUACAUUUUUAUCCUCAUUAUCUCAUCACU